RNAcentral lists this ribosomal RNA (425 nucleotides) under uncultured bacterium. RNAcentral's name for it is "bacterial SSU rRNA". It matches the Rfam family "Bacterial small subunit ribosomal RNA", at positions 356 to 773 of the family's 1533-position model. The record is from RNAcentral.
AGGGAAUCUUCCGCAAUGGACGAAAGUCUGAUGGAGCAACGCCGCGUGAACGAUGAAGGUCUUCGGAUUGUAAAGUUCUGUUGUCAGGGACGAACAAGUACCGUUCGAACAGGGCGGUACCUUGACGGUACCUGACGAGAAAGCCACGGCUAACUACGUGCCAGCAGCCGCGGUAAUACGUAGGUGGCAAGCGUUGUCCGGAUUUAUUGGGCGUAAAGCGCGCGCAGGCGGCUAUGUAAGUCUGGUGUAAAAGCCCGGGGCUCAACCCCGGUUCGCAUCGGAAACUGUGUAGCUUGAGUGCAGAAGAGGAAAGCGGUAUUCCACGUGUAGCGGUGAAAUGCGUAGAGAUGUGGAGGAACACCAGUGGCGAAGGCGGCUUUCUGGUCUGUAACUGACGCUGAGGCGCGAAAGCGUGGGGAGCAAAC